UCCAGAACUAUGUGAAAAUUAUUGUAACUAAAGUCUUUUCAAGAUUCCAUUUCAUAAUUAAGAGUUACUAGUUUUUCUUUCAAAAAUUAGACAUAAUUAAAAUUUUAAAUAUUAAUAAUAUUCUUACAAAAAUUAAACUAAUCUACACCACCCAGCCGCCCACCCCAUAACCCCAAUUCAAUUUCCUCCCAAACCCUAAAAACAAUUUUCACUCUCUUUUUCCUCACUCCGUCUUCUUUAUUCUCAAUCUCUCUACCUACCACCACCAUUCACAGUGUCGCCGCCCCUCUCUAAUCCAGCGAUGCAAGACAGCACAACGCUACAUCGCACCAUCGCCUAUCUCUGUCGAUGACGUCGCUCUCCUCAUACGAAUCGGCACCGUAGCCUGACCCAGAUCUCCCAUCAUUCUUCGACGAUGUGAGGGCCAUCGCCUAUAACCAGUGCAGAAUGGGCUAUUCCACCGAGCACAACUCGCAACAGCAUUAUGCUGCCAUGGUCUGUGAUUUGUAUUGAUCUGUGGACGAGCAUUUGCCAUGGCCCGCUAUUUGUUGUUUGUGGCUGCCAUGGUUUGAGAUGAUUUUUGGGAGUUGGUUUUUGGACGUGAAGGACGAUGGCUACGCCAUAUUUGGUUGGUUUUUGUUAGCUAUUGGGGUGGUUUUAUUGGCUGGGGUGCUAGUGGAUCUGGUAUUGCUGGUUGUAGAUCUAGAGCUGAUGAUGGUGGAUAAAGCGAUGGUGGUAGUCAUCGUGGCGGUGGUGCAGUGGUUGUACUAUUGGGUGGGUGUUUGACACCAAUUAUUUAGGAUAUGAUGGGUGGUGCAGUGGUUGUGCCAGUGAAUGGGAUAGGAUAUGGUGGGGUGGGUGGUUGGGUGCAAUGUUGUUGACUAGUGGUUGUGUGUGUUGAUGCUGUGGUGCUGUGUGCGGUGGUAUUGACGGCUUUACGAUAGUUCUGGUGGGUGUGCAGGGUGUGAUGGUGUUGGAGUGGUGGUGGUAGCAACUUCCAUAUUUUGGCAGUGGUGAGGCGGUCGACAAUGGUGGUCAUGGUAGUGGUCACGAUGGUAAUGGUGAGAUGUUAAUGGUGAUACGCCUGUCGGAUUGGUGGUGGAUCUAGCGCAACAAUGUGGUGUUUUUCUUCAAUUUGUUGAUUUGUUUGAGGUGGUUGUGUUACUGUUGGGAGGUGGGGGUGGUGCUGUUGCUAGAAGCAGUGGAGAGAUGGUGGUCACAAGUAUAGGUGGUGGUCAUAAAUUAUUUAGUUGAUUGUAACCAUUAAAUUGGUUAAUCUGUGACCAAUGAAAAAUAUAAAUUGUGACCAAGAAAUAAUAUGUAACCUAAAAAAUUACUAAUAUGUGACAGAUAAUUUGAUAAUUUGUGACUGUAUAAUAAGUUGUGAAUAAUAUUUGUGGUUUGUGUUCGAU
This 1412-nucleotide long non-coding RNA is filed under the name Olea europaea (common olive). RNAcentral describes it as "long non-coding RNA (OEUR_LNC006652)". The record is from RNAcentral. Lineage: Eukaryota; Viridiplantae; Streptophyta; Magnoliopsida; Lamiales; Oleaceae.